CUGCAUACAUUUCCUGCCAAAUAGCAGCUAGAAUGAAGGUCCCCUCAACUUUGAGGACAGAACAUUUAUAACCUCCCUAUCACCACCACAAGAUGUAGCAUAUACUAGCUAUUUUUUUAAAAAAAAUUUCCCAACAAGAUUGCAUGCAUUCUGAGAGGAAGUGUUAUGUCUUAAAAUUUUUGCAUUUCUUAUAGGGGACUGUACCUAGUAAAUAGUCUUCGGUAAAUACACCAUCAGAAUGCAAAAAUCAAAGUGGGAAUAAGCAUUCUAACCUCUCAUUUUAUAGAUGAAGAAACAGGUUCAGAGAAUUGAAAAGAUUUGCCCAGAUAAAAGUACGUAGUCAAAAUUAGAUCUCAGACUACUCUGUUCCCCGGGCUGUUUUUGUUUACUCCAUGUAUCCUCUGUUAAUUGACCAGAUUGAUUGAUUGACUUCCUAGCUCUAUCACCAGGAAGUCAAAGUAAAACUCCACCACUGAACUCUUGAAAGGCGUGUCUUCUGAAGGGUAGGAUUUCCCAUCAAAGAAACAGGAAAAUGCCAUUGGCAAUGAGCUGAAGACUGACUUUGAUUUACCCUACCAAGCAUGAUUUUAAUGACUACUUGUACAAACAUGUAGGUACAUCAAUAUUGGGUAGAUUCAUAGUGUUAGGAUAAAUUAGGUAAUUGAGUAGAAAAUACAGGCACAAGCUAGACUAGGUCCAAACACCUGGCCUCAUAUCAGUUGAAACCAUCAUAUCAAGAAUAAACAAUAGAAAGACAUGAUCACUUUCAUUGACUUCAGCUGGAAACAUUUACAAUCCAAUUUCAAUUUAGCAAGAUUUCAUCAGAAGGUAUCUCCCACAAAUUGAGGUCCAUCUUACUGUUAUUAUUUGAAAUCUUUUUGUAUAUGUGUAGUUUGGAACAUCUGUUAUUGCUGCUACUACGGUUUCUAUCACUGUUUGAUGCUGGGACUCUUAAGCUCCAACCACGUUUUCACCGAGCUGAGUCGCCUUCUUAUCACCCCUUUCUGGAGCAGCAGGACAUCUGGGGAUGAGAAGAUGGAGAGAUCAUCCUUAUAUAAUGUUGCAGUCUGGAAGCAUCACUCUCAAAAAGCCAUUGUAGAGAAUCCAAGCCGAGUUUAAGAGUGCUGUGGAAAUACACUGCUGCUACUGCUGUUUCUAUUACUGUUUGAUGCUGGGACUCUUAUGCUCCAACCACGUUUUCACCCAGCUGAGUCGCCUUCGUAUCACGCCUUUCCAGUUUUGAUAGACUAGAAAAAUGACAAGACUCCAAGUCCUUGAAGAGGAGGAAAAGUGUGAAGAAAACAAAAAAGGGAGAUUUAUGUCUGCUUCACCAUUUUGCCCAAGACUUGACCUGUCAUACACUGAAGCUCAGAGAGGAAGAAAGGACCGUGUGAGAGAAGAAGGGAACAGCCUUUCAUCCAUAGGAGAAGUUCGUCUAUGACAAAGCCACUAGCUCCAUGUGGCCGCUGAGCACUCAAAAUGUGGCCAGUCUGAAUUGAGAUAUGUUGUUAGUAUAAAGUCCACAUCGGCUUUUUGAGCACUUUGUAUGAGAAAAAAGAAUACCAAAUAUCUCCUUAAUAAUUGUUACAUU
Long non-coding RNA from Homo sapiens (human), 1591 nucleotides. Ensembl annotates it as long intergenic non-protein coding RNA 1203. The record is from Ensembl. Lineage: Eukaryota; Metazoa; Chordata; Mammalia; Primates; Hominidae.